This 301-nucleotide ribosomal RNA is filed under the name uncultured bacterium. RNAcentral's name for it is "partial 16S ribosomal RNA". It matches the Rfam family "Bacterial small subunit ribosomal RNA", at positions 509 to 808 of the family's 1533-position model. The record is from RNAcentral.
CAGUCGCCGCGGGAAUACGUAUGUCACAAGCGUUAUCCGGAUUUAUUGGGCGUAAAGCGCGUCUAGGUGGUUAUGUAAGUCUGAUGUGAAAAUGCAGGGCUCAACUCUGUAUUGCGUUGGAAACUGUGUAACUAGAGUACUGGAGAGGUAAGCGGAACUACAAGUGUAGAGGUGAAAUUCGUAGAUAUUUGUAGGAAUGCCGAUGGGGAAGCCAGCUUACUGGACAGAUACUGACGCUGAAGCGCGAAAGCGUGGGUAGCAAACAGGAUUAGAUACCCCAGUAGUCCCUGUCUCUUAUACA